UACGGAGGGGGCUAGCGUUGUUCGGAAUUACUGGGCGUAAAGCGCACGUAGGCGGCUUUGUAAGUUAGAGGUGAAAGCCCGGGGCUCAACCCCGGAAUAGCCUUUAAGACUGCAUCGCUUGAACGUCGGAGAGGUGAGUGGAAUUCCGAGUGUAGAGGUGAAAUUCGUAGAUAUUCGGAAGAACACCAGUGGCGAAGGCGGCUCACUGGACGACUGUUGACGCUGAGGUGCGAAAGCGUGGGGAGCAAACAGG
RNAcentral lists this ribosomal RNA (253 nucleotides) under uncultured bacterium. Its description in RNAcentral is "partial 16S ribosomal RNA". It matches the Rfam family "Bacterial small subunit ribosomal RNA", at positions 524 to 776 of the family's 1533-position model. The record is from RNAcentral. RNAcentral also lists the same sequence under 1 other name.